UAAUUUAACACCGUCGACGAUGAGUAGCCUGAGAUUGUUGACUUCUGUGUCUAGCGAAAAGGUCUAUUUCUUGACAUUAUUGUUAUUCCAGUUACGUUUCAACAGCGAGGAAGACACGUUGCUUGAUGGGUCACCACAGUACCAAGAAUUUCAAAGGCAACUUAAGCACUAUAUUUACUUAAGAAAGUAUUUUUAGGGAAAUUAGAGACAUAAAACAACAUAACAAAAGAGAAGAAAACCCUAAAAACAUACGAGGAUUUAGGUUAGAUUAGCCAAACUCGAGAGUAAUUAAAGGUCGCAGUGCUUGACAUGUUCAAGAAAGAGGAAAGCAACCAAAGGGUUUGAUCUUCAUUGUUUAAUUGACUUUCAGAUUAGUUGAAUUUGCGUUUAUUGCUUUUUAGUCGCAUUUGGAAAUCCAAAAAAUUUUGAAGCAAAACAAAAAUUUUGGAUUCUGGGAGGUCUAUGGGCUACGGCUAUAGGCUAAAAAGCUAUGGCCGUAAGGCCAUUUCCUAUCACUGUCUGGUCAUAGUUCCUAAGAAACUAUGAACAUUGUUUUCCUGCUAACGUCUGCUCCUUUCCCAACUAGUAAUUUCUGGUAACAUUUACAGAUCACAAAUAUUUAAUGAUGCAACAGCAAAAUGAGGAUGAGAAGUGAAAAUCUAGAUCAAAAUUUGUGAAGGCAAUAGGCAAUUUGCAUAAUAAAUACAUACCAGCAUCUAUUGGCUCCUCUCAGCUCUUAAAACGUUUGCACUCACACUCUUGCUGCAUAACAUCCAUUUUAAAGACAAGUUCUACAAACUGCAAAACAGAAUACAAUUACUUUAUCUUUAGCCGAGGCUGUGGAGACUGGGAACUUUAUGAACUUGAGCAGUUGAGCCUCCAUCCUUAUAUUGAAAUAAUAAUCCUAAAAUAAAAUUUUAUGUUUGAUGGGAUCCACCAACAUCCACCGAGUAUAAAUCCAAAGGUGGAAAACUCAUGCCUUUGAGCCUUUCCCUUUCCCUGUCAUAAAGAUGUGACCCCAAAAACAAUGAAUCACACAAUCAAAUUUGAUUUCCUUAAAUUACUCCACAGCCCAUUACAGAUGUAUAUCAUUUCUUUCCACCACCCGAUACAUUGAACUUGAAGAAUAUGACGUCUCCAUCUUGGACAACAUAGGUCUUCCCUUCUUGUCUAUACUUCCCAGCAGCCUUAACAGCUGACUCACUGCCAAGCUCCUUGAGAUCAUCAAAUUUCAUGACCUCAGCACAUAUAAACCCUCUCUCAAAGUCAGAAUGGAUUGUUCCUGCAGCCUGAGGGGCCUUUGUUUGUCUUCUGAUUUGCCAGCACUUCACCUCAUCAGGGCCAGCAGUGAAGAAAUAUAUGAGAUUAAUUGCAGAAAAUCCAGUCUUUAUGAUUUUUGGAAGGGCACUUUGUACCUUGUUCUCCUCACAAUACUUUGUCGCUUCAUCUGGUGCCAUAUCGGCAAGAUUUCUUUCUAACACACAGCUGAAAGGAAUAAUUGGUUCAGCCCCAUGUUCCUGCACCCAAGCAUGAAUCUUGGGCAAGAACUUGUUCUUUUUUCUCUGGUAAUCUUUCUCAUUCAUGUUAACCAGGUAAACAACAGGCUUGGCAGUAAGCAAUUGAAACGUAUUCAAUAUCUCGAUAUCAGCAGCUUUCCAGUCUCCUAGGCGAACAUCUUUACCAUCUUCAAGACAUGCGUUGACCUUUCAAUGAUUGAGGCACAAAGGUCUUCCACGCCCUUUGACACGACUCAUGGUCUAUUUUUAACUGCUUGUCAUUGCUCCGCUUCAUGCUCUUCUCAAGAUCCUCUACUCUUCUCUCCAUGAAUUCAAUAUCCUUUAGUCGUAACUCAUUACCAAUAACCUCUAGAUCUCUCACAGGAUUCACAAAGUCAUCAACAUGAAUAAUAUCUGGAUCUUCAAAUGCACGUAACACAUGAAAAAUGCCAUCAACUGCACGAAUGUGAGAUAAGAAAUUGUUGCCCAAGCCUUGCCCCUGAUGGGCACCUCUAACCAGUCCAGCUAUAUCAUGGAUUUCCAAGAAAGCUGAAACCUCGCUUUUUGGCUUAUACAGUUGGCAAAGCCAUUCGAAUCUUUCAUCAGGGAUAUAAACCCGUGCUUCAUUAGGCUCAAUGGUACAAAAGGGAAAAUUUUCAGCAGGAAUUGAUAGCUUUGUUAAUGUGUUGAAAAGAGUAGAUUUGCCAACAUUUGGUAAUCCAACGAUGCCAAUCUUGAGGUGAGAGGAGAAUCUUCCAAGGAUUGGUCGCUCAGCUGGUGCUUCUUUCGAUUUUGCUGAUUUUGGAGGCAUAUUUCUUAUCUGGACAUGUCGCAGAGAGUAAGCUGUAUCAGAACUCUACAGGUGUGCUUGAGAGUGUCAGAGUGAUGGAUAGUGACUCUCCGGCGACCUCGAUGAAAGUCCCAUCGAGAGGAAGGAAGAUGGGACUGAGAACGAGGGACGUAAAGUAAGAGAGAAAGUAAAAUGGAAACGAAACCUGAAAUCAGUGUCUCCGUGGUCGGGGACGACGAGGAUCUACACCGUCGACAGCAGCUGUGAAGUGGGUGAGCGAGAUAAAAU
This 2574-nucleotide unclassified non-coding RNA is filed under the name Hevea brasiliensis (rubber tree). The record is from RNAcentral. Lineage: Eukaryota; Viridiplantae; Streptophyta; Magnoliopsida; Malpighiales; Euphorbiaceae.